CCUACGGGUGGCAGCAGUGGGGAAUCUUGCACAAUGGGCGAAAGCCUGAUGCAGCAACGCCGCGUGGGUGAAGAAGGCCUUCGGAUUGUAAAACCCUGUUGUUAGAGAAGAAAGUGGGUGAGAGUAACCGUUUACGUUUCGACGUUAUGAAUCCAGAACGGCACGGUUAACUACGUGCGAGCAGCCGAGGUAAUACGUAGGUGGCUAGCGUUAACCGGAUUUAUUGGGAGUAAAGGGAAAGUAGGCGGUCUGUUAAGUCUGAUGUGAAAGCGUUCGGCUUAACCGGAGUAGUGCAUUGGAUACUGGCAGACUGGAGUGCAGAAGAGGUAGGUGGAAUUCCUGGUGUAGCGGUGAAAUGCGUAGAUAUCAGGAAGAACACCGGUGGCGAAGGCAGCUUACUGGACUGUAACUGACGCUGAGGUUCGAAAGCGUGGGUAGCAAACAGGAUUAGAUACCCGGGUAGUC
This 465-nucleotide ribosomal RNA is filed under the name uncultured bacterium. Its description in RNAcentral is "partial 16S ribosomal RNA". It matches the Rfam family "Bacterial small subunit ribosomal RNA", at positions 338 to 795 of the family's 1533-position model. The record is from RNAcentral.